Molecule: transfer RNA, 75 nt
Filed under: Weissella soli
Lineage: Bacteria; Bacillati; Bacillota; Bacilli; Lactobacillales; Lactobacillaceae
Description: tRNA-Asn
Rfam family: tRNA
About the family: Transfer RNA (tRNA) molecules are approximately 80 nucleotides in length.
Source: RNAcentral
UGCUCAGUAGUUCAGCGGUAGAAUCGCGCACUGUUAAUGCGUUGGUCACUGGUUCGAAUCCAGUCUGAGCAGCUA